CGUAAAGCGCAUGCAGGCGGCCUGUUAAGUCAGAUGUGAAAGCCCGGGGCGUUAACCUCGGAAUUGCAUUUGAAACUGGCAGGCUAGAGUCUUGUAGAGGGGGGUAGGAAGUUUCAGGUGUAGCGGUGAAAUGCGUAGAGAUCUGAAGGAAUACCAGUGGCGAAGGCGGCCCCCUGGAUAAAGACUGACGCUCAGAUGCGAAAGCGUGGGGAGCAAACAGGAUUAGAUACCCUGGUAG
Molecule: ribosomal RNA, 238 nt
Filed under: uncultured bacterium
Lineage: Bacteria
Description: partial 16S ribosomal RNA
Rfam family: Bacterial small subunit ribosomal RNA
Source: RNAcentral